This 484-nucleotide ribosomal RNA is filed under the name uncultured bacterium. RNAcentral describes it as "bacterial SSU rRNA". It matches the Rfam family "Bacterial small subunit ribosomal RNA", at positions 30 to 508 of the family's 1533-position model. The record is from RNAcentral.
AUUGAACGCUGGCGGCAUGCCUUACACAUGCAAGUCGAACGGCAGCACGGGAGCAAUCCUGGUGGCGAGUGGCGAACGGGUGAGUAAUAUAUCGGAACGUGCCCAGUCGUGGGGGAUAACGCAGCGAAAGUUGUGCUAAUACCGCAUACGAUCUAUGGAUGAAAGCGGGGGAUCGCAAGACCUCGCGCGAUUGGAGCGGCCGAUAUCAGAUUAGGUUGUUGGUGAGGUAAAAGCUCACCAAGCCUGCGAUCUGUAGCUGGUCUGAGAGGACGACCAGCCACACUGGAACUGAGACACGGUCCAGACUCCUACGGGAGGCAGCAGUGGGGAAUUUUGGACAAUGGACGAAAGUCUGAUCCAGCAAUGCCGCGUGCAGGACGAAGGCCUCGGUUGUAAACUGCUUUGUACAGAACGAAAAGUACUUUAAUAACACUAGAGGCGUCAUGACGGUACUGUAAGAAUAAGACACCGGCUAACUACGUCG